UAGGGAAUCUUCCGCAAUGGACGCAAGUCUGACGGAGCAACGCCGCGUGAGUGAAGAAGGAUUUCGGUUCGUAAAACUCUGUUGUUAGAGAAGAACAGCGCAUAGAGUAACUGUUAUGCGUGUGACGGUAUCUAACCAGAAAGCCACGGCUAACUACGUGCCAGCAGCCGCGGUAAUACGUAGGUGGCAAGCGUUGUCCGGAUUUAUUGGGCGUAAAGCGAGCGCAGGCGGUCAAUUAAGUCUGAUGUGAAAGCCCCCGGCUCAACCGGGGAGGGUCAUUGGAAACUGGUUGACUUGAGUGCAGAAGAGGAGAGUGGAAUUCCAGGUGUAGCGGUGAAAUGCGUAGAUAUAGGGAGGAACACCAGUGGCGAAGGCGACUUUCUGGUCUGUAACUGACGCUGAUGUGCGAAAGCGUGGGGAUCAAACAGG
RNAcentral lists this ribosomal RNA (429 nucleotides) under Bacteroidota bacterium. RNAcentral describes it as "Bacteroidetes bacterium partial 16S ribosomal RNA". It matches the Rfam family "Bacterial small subunit ribosomal RNA", at positions 355 to 776 of the family's 1533-position model. Lineage: Bacteria; Pseudomonadati; Bacteroidota. The record is from RNAcentral.